CCUGGCACAAUACUGACGCUCAGGUGCGAAAGCGUGGGGAGCAAACAGGUUUAGAUACCCUGGUAGUCCACGCCGUAAACGAUGUCUACUAGCUGUUCGUGGUCUUGUACUGUGAGUAGCGCAGCUAACGCACUAAGUAGACCGCCUGGGGAGUACGGUCGCAAGAUUAAAACUCAAAUGAAUUGACGGGGGCCCGCACAAGCGGUGGAGCAUGUGGUUUAAUUCGACGCAACGCGAAGAACCUUACCUACUCUUGACAUCUAGCGAAGAUUGCAGAGAUGCAGUUGUGCCUUCGGGAACGCUAAGACAGGUGCUGCAUGGCUGUCGUCAGCUCGUGUUGUGAAAUGUUGGGUUAAGUCCCGCAACGAGCGCAACCCUUAUCCUUAGUUGCCAGCACGUAAUGGUGGGAACUCUAGGGAGACUGCCGGUGAUAAACCGGAGGAAGGUGGGGACGACGUCAAGUCAUCAUGGCCCUUACGAGUAGGGCUACACACGUGCUACAAUGGUACGUACAGAGGGAGGCAAGCUGGCGACAGUGAGCGGAUCUCUUAAAGCGUAUCGUAGUCCGGAUCGCAGUCUGCAACUCGACUGCGUGAAGUCGGAAUCGCUAGUAAUCGCAAAUCAGAAUGUUGCGGUGAAUACGUUCCCGGGCCUUGUACACACCGCCCGUCACACCAUGGGAGUGGGUUGCAAAAGAAGUAGGUAGCUUAACCCUUCGGGAGGGCGCUUACCACUUUGUGAUUCAUGACUGGGGUGAAGUCGUAAC
RNAcentral lists this ribosomal RNA (766 nucleotides) under uncultured Rheinheimera sp. Its description in RNAcentral is "bacterial SSU rRNA". It matches the Rfam family "Bacterial small subunit ribosomal RNA", at positions 728 to 1492 of the family's 1533-position model. Lineage: Bacteria; Pseudomonadati; Pseudomonadota; Gammaproteobacteria; Chromatiales; Chromatiaceae. The record is from RNAcentral.